GAUGAACGCUGGCGGCGUGCUUAACACAUGCGAGUCGAACGAAGCAUUUGCGACAGAUUUUUUCGGAAUGAAGUUGCUUAUGACUGAGUGGCGGACGGGUGAGUAACGCGUGGGUAACCUGCCUUGUACUGGGGGAUAGCAGCUGGAAACGGCUGGUAAUACCGCAUAAGCGCACAAUGUUGCAUGACAUGGUGUGAAAAGCUCCGGUGGUAUAAGAUGGACCCGCGUCUGAUUAGCUAGUUGGUGAGAUAACAGCCCACCAAGGCGACGAUCAGUAGCCGACCUGAGAGGGUGACCGGCCACAUUGGGACUGAGACACGGCCCAGACUCCUACGGGAGGCAGCAGUGGGGAAUAUUGCACAAUGGAGGAAACUCUGAUGCAGCGACGCCGCGUGAGUGAAGAAGUAAUUCGUUAUGUAAAGCUCUAUCAGCAGGGAAGAUAGUGACGGUACCUGACUAAGAAGCUCCGGCUAAAUACGUG
This 481-nucleotide ribosomal RNA is filed under the name uncultured bacterium. RNAcentral describes it as "partial 16S ribosomal RNA". It matches the Rfam family "Bacterial small subunit ribosomal RNA", at positions 28 to 507 of the family's 1533-position model. The record is from RNAcentral.